AGCCCUUUAGUUUGAAACCCCGAAACCAGAUGAGCUACCCCGAGACCGCCUAUUUAAAUUUAGGGCUAACCCGUCUCUGUGGCAAAAGAGUGGGAAGAGCUCCGGGUAGAAGUGAUAGACCUACCGAACCUGGUGAUAGCUGGUUGCCUGAGAAAUGGAUAGAAGUUCAGCCUCGUACACCCCUAAUCGAGUAUAUAUUAUUAAGAUACUAGGGAAACAUACGAGAGUUAGUUGAAGGGGGUACAGCCCCUUUAACAAAGGAUACAACCUUCACAGGAGGAUAAAGAUCAUAAUAUAUAUAAAAUAUACUGUUUUAGUGGGCCUAAAAGCAGCCAUCUAAACGGAAAGCGUUAAAGCUCGGACAGAAACAAAUUUAUUAUUCUGAUAAUAAAUCUUACUCCCCUAACACUAUCAGGCUAACCCAUGCAUCCAUGGAAGAAAUUAUGCUAAAAUGAGUAACAAGAAGACACGCUCUUCUCCAAGCACAAGUGUAAGCCAGAUCGGACCACCCGCUGGAAAUUAACGAACCCAACCCAAGAGAGUAAUGUGGCCAAUAAGGAAAUCAAGAAAACCCCACAACUACGUGAUCGUUAAUCCCACACUGGAGUGCUAUUUAUAGAGGAAAGACUAAAAGAAAGGGAAGGAACUCGGCAAACACAAGCCUCGCCUGUUUACCAAAAACAUCGCCUCCUGCAACCAAACUGAGUAUAGGAGGUCCAGCCUGCCCAGUGACUACGGGUUCAACGGCCGCGGUAUUUUGACCGUGCAAAGGUAGCGCAAUCACUUGUCUUUUAAAUAGAGACCUGUAUGAAUGGCUAAACGAGGGCUUAGCUGUCUCCCCCUUCCAGUCAGUGAAAUUGAUCUAUCCGUGCAGAAGCGGGUAUAAGACUACAAGACGAGAAGACCCUUUGGAGCUUAAGGUACAAAAUCCAACCACGUCAAGAAACUCAGUAAAAAGUAAGAACUUAGUGGAUCCUGGAAAUUUACCUUCGGUUGGGGCGACCACGGAGGAAAAACCAGCCUCCGAGUGGAAUGGGUUAAAUUCCUAAAACCAAGAGAAACACCUCUAAGCCACAGAACAUCUGACCAAUAAAUGAUCCGGCCUAUAAAGCCGAUCAACGAACCAAGUUACCCUAGGGAUAACAGCGCAAUCCUCUCCCAGAGUCCAUAUCGACGAGGGGGUUUACGACCUCGAUGUUGGAUCAGGACAUCCUAAUGGUGCAGCCG
This 1227-nucleotide ribosomal RNA is filed under the name Zacco platypus (freshwater minnow). Its description in RNAcentral is "partial 16S ribosomal RNA". It matches the Rfam family "Bacterial large subunit ribosomal RNA", at positions 690 to 2561 of the family's 2925-position model. The record is from RNAcentral. Lineage: Eukaryota; Metazoa; Chordata; Actinopteri; Cypriniformes; Xenocyprididae.